Molecule: ribosomal RNA, 610 nt
Filed under: uncultured bacterium
Lineage: Bacteria
Description: bacterial SSU rRNA
Rfam family: Bacterial small subunit ribosomal RNA
Source: RNAcentral
GUUCGAACGCGAAAGGGGCUUCGGCCCCUGAGUAGAGUGGCGAACGGGUGAGUAACACGUGGGUGACCUGCCUUCGAGUGGGGGAUAACGUCCCGAAAGGGACGCUAAUACCGCAUGACAUCCCGCCUUUGAAGUGGCGGUGAUUAAAGCUGGGGAUCGCAAGACCUGGCGCUUGAAGAGGGGCCCGCGCCCGAUUAGCUAGUUGGUGGGGUAAUGGCCUACCAAGGCUUCGAUCGGUAGCCGGCCUGAGAGGGCGGACGGCCACACUGGGACUGAGACACGGCCCAGACUCCUACGGGAGGCAGCAGUGGGGAAUUGUUCGCAAUGGGCGCAAGCCUGACGACGCAACGCCGCGUGGAGGACGAAGAUUUUCGGAUCGUAAACUCCUUUCGAUCGGGACGAAUCGUCUCCGACCUAAUACGUCGGGGGACUGACGGUACCGAGAGAAGAAGCCCCGGCUAACUCCGUGCCAGCAGCCGCGGUAAUACGGGGGGGGCAAGCGUUGUUCGGAAUUACUGGGCGUAAAGGGCGCGUAGGCGGCCUGCUAAGUCGGACGUGAAAUCCCUCGGCUCAACCGGGGAACUGCGUCCGAUACUGGCGAGGCUUGAAU